Molecule: RNA transcript, 1647 nt
Organism: Zea mays
Lineage: Eukaryota; Viridiplantae; Streptophyta; Magnoliopsida; Poales; Poaceae
Gene name: S-adenosyl-L-methionine-dependent methyltransferase pseudogene
Source: RefSeq, marked validated
GACGCAGACGGACGCAAGGCACGGCGCCGACAUCUCCCCGUGGCCCGAGGGCCCAGACAUGAAGGCCCUGGGCGCGCACGCCGCCGACCUGCUCCGAGGCCCGCACCUACUCCGCGCCGCCGUCUUCGCUUUCGCCGUUGCGCUCGCCUUCCUCGUUGGCUACCACUGGCCCAACGCCUCCCCGCGCCUUGUCUUCUUCUCGUCCGAUGCCUCCUCGUCGUCGCCCAGGUCGUCCUCCCGCUCUCCUUCCGUCGUGCUCUCCCCUAACUCUAACGUCUCCUUCGACCCAUCCCUGAUCCCUACCCCCAGCACCCCGCCUGCUUCUUCUACUCCCAAUGCCUGGUCCCCGCCCGCACUACCACCGCCGACAUCGGCGCCGCCGCCUCCCCUCCCCCCUCCUCCACCACCAGCGCGCCUCGGCAUCGUCGGCGAGGACGGCGCUAUGCAGGACGACUUCGACAUCGGCAACGUCGGCGCCAACGACACUGAUCUGGCCACCGACGAGACCGCGCCGCAGGAGCCUAGCGACGUGGGCGCCAGCGGUGGACCACCUAGGGUGCGGAUUGAGAGGUUCCCGGUCUGCCCCGAGAGCAUGAGGGAGUACAUACCCUGCCUCGACAACGAGGAUGAUAUCAAGCGGCUGCCCUCGACGGAGCGCGGGGAGCGGUUUGAGCGGCACUGCCCUGCCAAGGACAAGGGUCUCAGCUGCCUCGUGCCGGCGCCCAACGGGUACAAGGCGCCCAUCCCCUGGCCUCGGAGCAGAGACGAGGUCUGGUUUAGCAACGUGCCUCACACAAGAUUGAUUGAUGACAAAGGAGGACAGAAUUGGAUCACCAAGGUCAAAGAUAAAUUCAGAUUUCCUGGAGGCGGAACUCAAUUCAUUCAUGGAGCAAAUCAAUACCUAGACCAGAUCUCCCAGAUGGUACCAAAUGUUGCAUUUGGAUCUCAUACUAGAGUUGUCUUGGAUGUUGGCUGUGGAGUAGCAAGUUUUGGUGCAUAUUUACUUUCACGUGAUGUCCUGACAUUGUCCAUAGCUCCAAAAGAUGUUCAUGAAAAUCAGAUUCAGUUUGCUCUUGAACGUGGUGUGCCUGCAAUGGCAGCAGCAUUUGCAACGCGCCGGUUGUUAUAUACAAGCCAAGCGUUUGAUAUAAUACAUUGCUCACGCUGCCGAAUAAAUUGGACCCGUGAUGAUGGUAUCCUGCUCCUGGAGGUUAAUAGAUUGCUUAGAGCUGGAGGCUACUUUGCUUGGGCAGCCCAACCUGUUUAUAAGCAUGAAGAGGCCCAACAAGAGGCAUGGAAAGGUAUGUUCUACUUAUUCUGUUGUACCUUCUCUUUUGUUAGUGUGAUAACAUACAGCUCAUGUAUGAGUUUGGUAGUUCUUUAAUGCUAGAGAUUUGUCAUAAUCAAAUCCAUUCUUUUAUUCGCUACUAUCCUGCAUACUUAUAGCUGGCAAGUUGUGUAGUUUGUGUUUGUUGAUGCCAAAUAGCCAGUGUUCCUGUAUACACGUAUCUAACAUUUAUUUAAAACACCUUGCCUUAUCAGUUCAACUUUAUGUAUUUUGACUUGAAUUUGUCCUUGUCACAACAUGCUAAGUGCCCUCACAUAAGUUAACUUGCAUGAUAGGUGUUACCAUUUUAGGCAUCAUCU